This 31-nucleotide small RNA is filed under the name Bombyx mori (domestic silkworm). Its description in RNAcentral is "ovarian small RNA-31621". Lineage: Eukaryota; Metazoa; Arthropoda; Insecta; Lepidoptera; Bombycidae. The record is from RNAcentral.
UGACCGCUCUGCGCAUGGCGUCGGCGAACGC